This 534-nucleotide long non-coding RNA is filed under the name Pan troglodytes (chimpanzee). RNAcentral describes it as "long non-coding RNA NONPTRT000276". The record is from RNAcentral. Lineage: Eukaryota; Metazoa; Chordata; Mammalia; Primates; Hominidae.
ACAAAAAUUAACUGGGCAUGGUGGCACACGGCUGUAAUCCCCGCUACUCAGGAGGCUGAAGCAGGAGAAUGGCUUAAACCCGGGAGGCGGAGGUUGUGGUGAGCCAAAGAUCACACUACUGCACUCCAGCCUGGGUAACAGAGCAAGACUCCAUCUCAAAAAAAAAAAAAAAAAAAAAGCUUUAAGCACAGAAAUGAUGUGCUCAGAUUUAUGCUUCGUGAAGAAAAAAAAAAAAUCCCUCUGGCUUCAGUGUAGAGGAUGGAGGGGGACCUGUUGGCAGCAGGAGGAUUAAUUACCUGUGACAAUGCAAGAGGCUCUUAUGAAAUAGAGAACCAUGUCAGAGCAAAAUUUAAGCAUGGCACAGGACCUACGAGCACAGGAUUUCUUUUGUUGCUCAGAGAAGGCAAGAAUUGCCAUGAGGCGUGACCCAAGAUCACAGGAUAAGGAAUGCACACACUUUGACUUCCCAAUCUGGCUUUGACUGGGUCUGUGACUUGGACUUGGGUAUCAGUUCUCCCAUCUCAAAGUGAGGAG